This 94-nucleotide transfer RNA is filed under the name Streptomyces alanosinicus. RNAcentral's name for it is "tRNA-Ala". The record is from RNAcentral. Lineage: Bacteria; Bacillati; Actinomycetota; Actinomycetes; Kitasatosporales; Streptomycetaceae.
CUUGUCCCAGGUCGUGCCGUCGGCGGCGUUGGCGCUCGCGGCGCCGAGCAGCGGGAUGGCGAUGGCGGAGCCGGUCACUCCGGCCGCGACGAGG